GAGUGAGGAUGAGAUUAAGAGAGGGGAUGAGAGGGAAGGAUGAAAGGGGGUAGUCAGAAAAUGAAAACAAAAAUUUGAAAGUGAAAACAAUUUCACAUAGAUUUCAAUUUUUAGUUUUUGUUUUCACUUUUAUUACUCAUCUUUCUCAUCCUCCCCUCUCAUCUUCCCUCUUAAUCUCAUCUCUAUUCU
Molecule: small nucleolar RNA, 189 nt
Filed under: Prunus dulcis (almond)
Lineage: Eukaryota; Viridiplantae; Streptophyta; Magnoliopsida; Rosales; Rosaceae
Description: sRNA ncRNA
Source: RNAcentral